UGAACCUAAUGAUCGGCAGCAGCAGCAGCUCUAGCCUGCUCCAGGAUCCUCACCAGCGGCUUGCAGCCGCACCGUUGUGCUUCGUCGAGCGGGGUGUUGCCCCACCUGUCUGCGGCCACAAGGUCAGCACCAAACUCCACCAGCAUCCCAGCGACGAGGUGCAGGCCCUCGCUGGCGGCUACGUGGAGCGGCGUCCUCCGGUCGUAGUUCCUGCAGUUGGGGUCGAUGCCGAACCUGAGCAGCCUCCUCAGCAGGUCGAUCUUGCCCUGGGCGACCACCCUGCACAGGUAGCCUCCUGCGUCCUCCAGGUUCAGCGCCGCGCCGUGCGCCACCAGCAGCGAGAUGAUCCUCUCGUGCCCUGAUUUCACCGCUUGCAGCAGCGGCGACUUCCCAGACUUAUCUGCAUUUUCAGAUGUGUGUGUUAGUUGCUUCAUACUACUGUUUUGAACUGCUUCUGUAAAUAGAAAAAGAAAAAGGAAACCGCACCUAUGCUGUUGACGUUUGCUCCUCGCUGGAUAAGGAACCUGACGAUAUCUUCGUAUCCUCUUGAUGCAGCCACAUGCUGCAAGGAAAAGAUGUGGGAAAAGUUGAAGAGUUGUUACUGUGCAAAUAGAAUCUUGACUGAUAAUUUUUGCAGUUAACUUUUAGUAGUACUAGUUAGCAUGUGGAACUCCUGUAGUAAUUUGACUGAUGAUUGAUCUGCAAAGGUUCACGUACCAAGGAGGUCCUCCCGUCGUAAUCCGGUUUACUCGGAUCUGCUCCUGCACCGAUCAAGCCUUUCAACCGAAACAAAUCUCCAUGGUAGGCAGCAUUGUUGACUCCAAGGACCAUGUCAGCUUCUUGCUUUGCUAUAAGGAUGUACCUUGAGUAGGUUGCUCAGUAUCUGACGGCUAUCCUUGAGAUCACGGCGACGUCGCCGACUAUGUCGUAGGGCAGCAGCUCUGAGACGAUCUCUUCUGAUCCGCCUUCUCCGGCGGCGGCGAACUCUUCAUGUAAGAUCACAUGGGACAUGAUAGGUGAAGGUCAGUAAUACAGCAGAGUUGUGUUUUCUCUUGGUUUAUGGAGAAAAAUUCAGUGAAAAGUAGUACCAGACAUCCAUGUGCCACAAUGUAUAUCUGAUCCACUACAGUGCCUUGCUCCAAAAUAACUUCCCCGGGGAGGAAGAAUUCUUCCUGUAUUUUAACCACCUGAAACCAUCAACUGAAGAGUUAGAUGAAUUGUCCACCUGAGAUAAACUGCAGUGAGAUAAGCAUGAGUCUACUCAAGUUCUUACAAUCUGGCUCAGGAAGUCUUCUGAGCAUCCUCUGAACAGGUGCACUUUUGAGACCGUUUCCAGGUACAGUGUCUGGGAGAAGUUUAAAACAAAAUGCUCAAACUGAUUAAAGUUGCUCCAAAAAGAA
This is a long non-coding RNA of Triticum dicoccoides, 1400 nucleotides long. RefSeq lists it as uncharacterized. NCBI's taxonomy places the organism in Eukaryota, Viridiplantae, Streptophyta, Magnoliopsida, Poales, Poaceae. The transcript has 3 exons. The record is from RefSeq and is a predicted model, not a curated record.